This is a non-coding RNA of Paramisgurnus dabryanus, 524 nucleotides long. The record is from RefSeq and is a predicted model, not a curated record. Lineage: Eukaryota; Metazoa; Chordata; Actinopteri; Cypriniformes; Cobitidae.
GUCUGCAAGCAGACAACAGAGGGUGCAUGUGGACUUCCAACUUUCCACAGGCUUCCCUGAUACUGAGGCAGGGGAGCAAUGAAUGAGAUAUAUUGACAACUGAGAGAUAGCCAACAGCUGUUGAACCAGCAGAACCGGAGCCAGUGUCUGUUCAGCACUGGGGGUGGACCUCUGAUGUACGGGUGGAGAUGAACAGAAAGGGCCUGUAUAACAAGCUCAUGUCAUGGACUUGGGCAACAAAGGAGCAAACACGAGUGGUUAUGCCAGGAUGGUAUUCGAGAUGACAGCAAAGAACCUGCCGGAGGUGGAGCGUGAUGCGGUAGCUCAGCUGUUGGGACACGGUGCAACAUCUCGUUGAGGACAUUGCUGGAAAAACACAGUAAGCUAUACGAACAAAACUGUGACAGUUGCUUUACAUGUGAACGGCCCCAACGCUAAUAUGAUUUUGUGUUUCUCUCCCUGCCUCGUCCUCAAUCCCGAGGACACUGAGACCAACAGACCCAGUUCCGGCUGCCGUGAAGGUU